UGAUGAAGAACGUAGUGAAAUGCGAUAAGUAAUGUGAAUUGCAGAAUUCAGUGAAUCAUCGAAUCUUUGAACGCACAUUGCGCCCAUUAGUAUUCUAGUGGGCAUGCCUGUUCGAGCGUCAUUAAUUCCACUUAAGCCCUGCUUAGUGUUGGGAAUCUACUCUAGUGGUGCUACCCUGGAGCUACCCCUGAAAGGGGGCUGGCCCGGUAGCUACCCUGUAGUUCCUCAAAGAUAGUGCGCGGAGUUGCGUGGUCCUCUGAGCUUAGUAACUAUACACCUAGCUUUUGAGUGUCCCGCGGCGCCUGCCGUUUAAACCCCAUCUUUUAAUGGUUGACCUCGGAUCAGGUAGGAAUACCCGCUGAACUUAAGCAUAUCAAUAAGCGGAGGA
Molecule: unclassified non-coding RNA, 388 nt
Filed under: soil metagenome
Description: partial contains 5.8S ribosomal RNA, internal transcribed spacer 2, and large subunit ribosomal RNA
Rfam family: 5.8S ribosomal RNA (bases 2-121)
Source: RNAcentral